AUGUACCAUGUGAUCACCCGACCCCCUUGAACCUUUCUGCUUUGAUGUUUGAGGCCAUGAGGGAGACUCUGAACAGGUCUAAGGCUCACUUGCCUUAUGGUAUGGUACUCACCCUGAUCUUUAGGAGGUUCGGAGUCUGUUUUGAGGGGGAGAUAGUCACCAAAUUAUCACACUCUGACACCAUCAAUCGCCACACACUGCACUGCAUGGAUUUCUCAAAGACUGAUGGUGGUUGGUCGAAGGGUGUUGAGGAAAGAAC
RNAcentral lists this long non-coding RNA (259 nucleotides) under Elaeis guineensis (African oil palm). RNAcentral's name for it is "long non-coding RNA (EGUI_LNC077999)". The record is from RNAcentral. Lineage: Eukaryota; Viridiplantae; Streptophyta; Magnoliopsida; Arecales; Arecaceae.